Long non-coding RNA from Octopus sinensis (East Asian common octopus), 329 nucleotides. RefSeq lists it as uncharacterized. NCBI's taxonomy places the organism in Eukaryota, Metazoa, Mollusca, Cephalopoda, Octopoda, Octopodidae. The transcript has 3 exons. The record is from RefSeq and is a predicted model, not a curated record.
AGAUUGUUGUUGAUAAUAUUAUAUCUUGUUUCGUUUUUGCUAUUUUAAUAUUUUUUAGUUGAUGGUGCCAUCCACAAAGCAGCUGGUCCAGAAUUGAAACGGAAAUGUCGAACCUUAGAUGGCUGUAAGACUGGAGACAUUGUGAAAACAGACGGAUAUUGCCUCCCAGCAAAGUACAUAAUCCAUACAGUUGGUCCAAUGGGAGAAAAAGCUGAAGAGUUGAGAAGUUGUUACCAGAAAUCAUUAAAUUCUUUAUUAAAAGAUGAAAGAACAAUUGUAAUUAUUGCUUCUAUUUUAUAUUUCUUUAUUUUUUUAUUUUGUUUUAUUAA